This is a regulatory RNA element of Jannaschia seosinensis, 69 nucleotides long. It matches the Rfam family "L2-Alphaproteobacteria ribosomal protein leader". The record is from Rfam. NCBI's taxonomy places the organism in Bacteria, Pseudomonadati, Pseudomonadota, Alphaproteobacteria, Rhodobacterales, Roseobacteraceae.
GGGGACCUCCGGGGCCCUACAACUGCGCGGCGGAAUGACCCGUCGCGCCACGCAAACGGAAGACAGGUA